GAAAGCAUUUAUGUAUUUAUAACACUUCAAUUGCAGGGUAUCUACCAUGUGGGCAGUGCUGUUAUAAAAUGAUGGAUUUUCCAGAAUUACUCUAAAUGAGAAAUUCAGCGCUGACCCACGUGGACAGGAACAGAAUAACAGCAGGAAGAGUCCAGCCAGUGGUGGCACCAAGGGAUGAACCUCAAACUCCAGAGCUCCUCAGCCUGGGAGGGGGCCAACAGGUGGGACAGAGACUGGGCACAGGAAUCAUCCCUUCCUUGUGACGUAACUGCCCGGGGACGUGAGCAAGCUCCAGACUGAAAAGUGACACAAGCUGUUCUCACAAUUCACACUCAACUUUGAAAUUCUCAGGAUGUUGUCUGUUAAAAUUCAGAAGACUGCUGAAAGAUUGGUUCAUCAGGGAACAUUAAACAGAAAAACAGAGCAGGUACAGCAGCACAGGGAGUCCUUAAACUUCUGCAGGGGUGAAUCAGAGAAGAGAUCAGCUUGUACAGGCACUAUUUCUUAACCCCCAGCCCGGCAUUUUUACAUCUGGACAUUGUUGGAGCCAAGAUACAUGAAAACAUCUGAGCUAAAAAGAUUUGAUCCAGUAACAUACUCACAUGUGCUAUUAAUCCUGUUUUCCAAUCCCACAUACCAGCUUCAUAACUGCACAUUUAAGCCUCAGUAUCUCUCUGAAAACAUAGUUCGUGAAACAAAAAUACACUUCUUUAAACUAUUUUAACUUCUGUUGGACCACACGAAAUCUGAGUUCAUUCACCAUGAUCUCAGAGUAAAUUUUUCUUAUUGUUAUUGUUGAAAUACUGUUAAUUUUGUUAAAAUAUUGUAGAUAAUUGUAAAAUAUUGUUAAAA
Non-coding RNA from Taeniopygia guttata (zebra finch), 852 nucleotides. The record is from RefSeq and is a predicted model, not a curated record. Lineage: Eukaryota; Metazoa; Chordata; Aves; Passeriformes; Estrildidae.